GGAUAUUAUAUUGAAUAAGAGAGACAAGUACUGUCAGAUCAUACCAAAUGACAUGAAUGAUGUGAAUAAGUGGUUGAAAACAUCACCAAGUACUCCGAAUUGAAAAGAUAUGAACGCCAAAACCGAUACAAAGGACCGGUGGCUAUGGUUGAGGAGGAGUGACCUGAAGAUAGAGACAGAAGCACUCAUAUGCGCAGCUCGGGAAUAAGCGUUGAGGACCAACUAUUUGAAGUGCA
Molecule: long non-coding RNA, 236 nt
Organism: Octopus sinensis (East Asian common octopus)
Lineage: Eukaryota; Metazoa; Mollusca; Cephalopoda; Octopoda; Octopodidae
Exons: 2
Source: RefSeq, a predicted model, not a curated record